AGCGGUGGCGACCGGACGUUUAAAAUCGCCCUCCACUCACGUGACGCACUCCGCGACCUCUCAUUGGCACGUUUGAACGAUACAGGCACCGCAGGGCAGUUUGGGGUUUGUAGUUAGCUCCCGAACGGCCGGCGGUGUUACUGAGAGGACCGCUCUUCACCUCACAUACUUAACCAGUUAUUAAUAGACUAAAUCUAUGUAAUCGCGGUCUGAAGGGUUGGAUAAGCUUUAAGGCCCCUUCCAACCCAAACAGCUCUGUGACUGACUGAAAGAAUACGCUUUGAAGCAGGCCUAUUGCAGAAUGAAAACCAGGAAAACGCCACUCUUCCACAUCUCUUCUGACAUCUAAUGCUGUCCAGCGCUUAGGGUUUUCUCUUAAUAUAUGUACGGCCUCAGAAAUUGCAGUCGAGUGAUGUAUUCUGUGCUGAGUAUUUGGUAUGGCGGAAUCACUGGAUUGGAAUUUAGCAGCUGAAUAAGAAUGGUUAACCAUGAUUUUUACAUAGAUACAAUAUUUUGUAACCCUUCCUCUGCUUGGCAUCUUAUAUGUUUUCUUCUCUAUUUUGGCAUCUUUCAUGGAGCCUUGCAAGCAGUACACAUGCAACUUCGGUACAUAGCAAGUAUCCUAUGCAUUGGCUAAUAUGCAUAGUAAAGGACUGGGACAAGCCACUAGGCUUAAUACGAACAUGCUCAUUUCUCACCUUUUCUCCCUCUCCAUCACCGCAGGAGCCCCUCCUGGCUAGAAAUGUCGGGGGAAGUGUCAGGCUCUGUUGUGUUUAAAACAGGCUGAUCGUCAUUGUUACAGAGUUUCUGUCUUUCAGCUUUUCAGCUCAGGGUUUUAUACCUGUUCUCUUUGUAUUUUUCAUGGGUCCUUGAAUUGCUAUUACUGAUGUUACAAUUUCAAUUCUACAUUUACCAUUCUUCUCCUGCUUUGCUCUAGCCUAUAGAAUUUCACUAAUAGCUCAACAGCAAUUCUUUUUCAGUAAGUUGAGCAAGGGUCCAUGGCUGUAUUAACAAAACUGGGCCAUGUGCAUUAUAAAGGAUAAUUUUCCACAAAGAAAAAUUAUGAUAGAAGAAUAAAAGUCAGGAGAUUUCAAGAGUGUAUUAUAAGACCAAAAAUCCACAAUCUUACACUUCUGAGAUGAGGCUCACACAUACCUCCUUUUGCUUAGUUCAGUCAAAAAAUGAAAGCAUCAGUAAGAAAAAGAAAACCAAGAUUAAAUUAGUAGGGAAAAGGGCAAAUAGGCUGUAAUGUAGGAAAAAAAAAUAUAAAGAAAACUAAAAUCAUACAGGAAAAAUUCAGUGUAUGCCUUUCAGUGGGGCAUCUACCACUCUUUGUAUGCUAUUUAUGAAAACAAAAUCCAAAAGUUAUAACUGCCUAUCUUUUCAGGAUCAGGUCUGAAAGAGCUAGAAGUGAUUCAAGUCAAUAAUUCUUUACUGAUGUCUGAAUUUCUUCUCCCAAACCAUUGUAAUAUUUCAAUUUUUCUAUAUUUAAUAUAUUACUAAUAAUGAAGAAUGAUAUGAUGUCCUUGGUAGCUCCAUUGGUUCCGGUGACACAGUUUUACUCACAUAACCACUGGAAGCAUGCAGCACAUACCCUUCGUUGAAAUGCACGCUGACGUACUGGUCUUGUAACAAGUUUACUUAAAAGAAAUGGAAAUUCAAUCAGUUUCUAUUAAAUGGUCACAGUGUCAAAGAAAUUAAAAUAGCUCUUUUUAGAAAUUAUAUUUAUGGAAAAGAGUUUUAAGACUGCUGAGAGUAUAAGUCAACAAGCUCAGGCUUAAUUUUCUGGAGUGUGAUACCCCAAGACUUAUUUAGAAAUUGCUAACUGUUGUAAUAAAACUGAAGGAACCAAUUUCAUUUAUAUAAAAAUAUAAAUGCUGUGUGAAGGAAAGGCAAAAGCGUUUAGAAAUGCACCAGAACUGUAAGUUCAGAUCUUUCUUAAGAGCAAUUAUAUGUGUCAACCAGCUUAAAAUAACAGUUAAAUGACAAAUAAGGUUUGGGGGUUUUUGUAUAUAGUUUAAAGAUGAUGCAAGAAGGUGUUCCCAUUUUGUUCUGGGAAAGAAGGGCUUUGGCCUCUUUCUCUAAACUACAAAUUUAAAUGUGUUGAUUCAAAAGCCCAACAAAUAAUUACUAGACCAUUGGAUUUAUUAUUCUAAACCCACUGUUAACCCAGCUAAUCAUGCAAUGCCCAAGGUUUGGGAGAACUUCUGCCAAUUAACUGGAGGUCAGGGAAGAGUAGGAUAUAUGUGACUGUUACUAACCCUAAAUGUCCAAAAUGUCUUCUUUUGUGAUUAUUGAGUAUGAUUGUAUUAUAAAAGUUAAGAUUAUUAAAGAAGGCAUGUACUUUUCCAUUAAAAUAUUAUAAUAUUAGGGCACAUUUAAGUGCUGGUGGCUUGAAAUUUCACUCCAGGCAAGUUAAACCAAAUUGUAGUUGUGAAAGGAACUAAGGUUUUACCCCAAAAUAGCCUGUGAUCUAAUAGAAAGUAGUUCUAAGUUACAGCUCAUCCUGCAUUUUUCAUCACCAGCACCCUCCAUCUGUGCAUUACUUGUGUUGCUAUGAAUUUGGCAACCCUUCAGCAGCGAGCUACUGUUUAUAAGAAGGGAUCCCAGCAGCUAAAAGAAGCCAGUCGUUGGGAUUACUCAUUACUUGCCUUUUGAGCUGCUCCAGGGAAUUUCUUGAAGAACUAUGUCAAAAUCAGCUUUAGAAAACCAGUAAUUUGAGAACUUCGAUUGACCAGACUAGUGUUGGUCAAGUUGGUGGGAUUGGAAGGAGGAUUCUUUUUGUUGGUACCGAGUGAAGAUUUUCCUCUUUUGUGCAAGGAAAAAAGAGCAUUAAAAAGGCCUUUUUUCUCUCUGCAAGAAGAAAUCUGACGCAUUGGGAACUCAAUUACCAAGACACCAUGAAUGCUUCCAGGAGGAUACAUUCUCUCCGUGCUCACAGACAGAAAACCAAUGGCAGCAAAAGUGAGAACUGGCACAGCACCUCUGGGUUCAAGGACCAGCAUGGAGAUGAUCUUGCUACAGUCCAUACCCUUUACACAGUGAUUGUCAUGAUCCUUCUAAUGGCAAUCUGGGGAGCCUGGUCAAGAAAGGAUUCAUCCUGAUAGCAGCAAUACACUUUCUUUGUCAAAUAUUUAAUGGAAUAUUUCUGUCAAUUACCCAUACCUGGGAGGUACAAAAAAAAAAUGGUCUCAGCAUAUUACAGUUUGCUUGAAACUGCUUAAAAUAUUGCUAUGUGUGAAACUGAAACUGUGAAGCAAUUUAGUUGUCAAUAUACAGAACAUGACUGUGAAUAACAUAACCUGUUUGCACAGUACACGUUUAUAUUACCCAUCGCAUGUAUAUGAAACUUACCUUAAGCACAAUAUGCUAGCAAGAAGAGUUCUGCUUAUGUUUUUGUUGGUCAGUGUUUUGUAGAGAAACCUCAGCUUUCCAUUUUUGAACUUCAGUUGUCAGUGUCUACCUCUGCUAAGGUUACCUGUUCGAAUCCAUCAUAAAACAUAUACUAUAAGCAAGCAAAUAAUCUGCCAUGUCACAACAUCAUAAGAAAACAAAUAAAUUAACAAAACCAGCUAUCCUGCAAGCAAAGGAAGACCUAUGAAGCAAUCAAAUUCUCAUCUCUGUUGCUGAAGAGUUUAUAUGGGACUUGCACCUGCAUAUUUUUAACCUGUGGUAAUGCCUUUGUAAACUCAGGAAUAAAAUAAUGAAAUAAA
Long non-coding RNA from Pezoporus flaviventris, 3713 nucleotides. RefSeq lists it as uncharacterized. Lineage: Eukaryota; Metazoa; Chordata; Aves; Psittaciformes; Psittacidae. The transcript has 2 exons. The record is from RefSeq and is a predicted model, not a curated record.